This is a long non-coding RNA of Hyposmocoma kahamanoa, 621 nucleotides long. RefSeq lists it as uncharacterized. NCBI's taxonomy places the organism in Eukaryota, Metazoa, Arthropoda, Insecta, Lepidoptera, Cosmopterigidae. The transcript is spliced from 2 exons. The record is from RefSeq and is a predicted model, not a curated record.
AAAAUGGGUCACAAGACGCGAGUAGCCAUGAAGUGGCUCGUACUUCUUUGUGUGCUUGUGGCGGCCUACCAUGCCUGGGGUGAUUCCUUGGAUAUAAACAGAAGCUAUAUUCCAAAUAUAUUACGAUCAGACAGAAACAUAGCAUGGCAAGAAAGAAGCGGGUUAUUGCAAGACAGAAGUGGCGCGGACUAUACCGGACAAUACGCUGAGCUUGCUUCUCCAGUACCAUCUCACGUAAACCUUGACGAACUGGUAGAAUCUCUUCGUGCCGCAAGCAACCACCCUUGAUGACCCGCUCGAACUUCUAGACGACCUUCGGCUAAGUAUCUAUAGUGACUGGUCAAUUAUAAUAAAUAAGUAACGGUACGAAAAUAAGAAAAUACCACAUCCGUAAUUUGACAUCACAAUAUAGAGUAUAAAACAAUAAAUCGUUGUGGUAGCUACAAGCUGCAAAAGGCUACAUUGGUAUUCAGGACAACGACAAGAAAUUGAAAAAGAAUGACGAAUACUUUUCUCUUAUUUCGAUAAAAACAACUGUAUGAAAAAAGAUUUAUUAUUGAGCUAAUUUCUUAACGACAAAAAAUAUGCUCUAUUUUUUGCCAGUCACUGUAUUUACGAACC